UGGGGAAUUUUGGACAAUGGGCGAAAGCCUGAUCCAGCAAUGCCGCGUGUGUGAAGAAGGCCUUCGGGUUGUAAAGCACUUUUGUCCGGAAAGAAAUCCUUGGCUCUAAUACAGUCGGGGGAUGACGGUACCGGAAGAAUAAGCACCGGCUAACUACGUGCCAGCAGCCGCGGUAAUACGUAGGGUGCAAGCGUUAAUCGGAAUUACUGGGCGUAAAGCGUGCGCAGGCGGUUUGCUAAGACCGAUGUGAAAUCCCCGGGCUCAACCUGGGAACUGCAUUGGUGACUGGGCAGGCUAGAGUAUGGCAGGAGGGGGGUAGAAUUCCACGUGUGAGCAGUGAAAGUGCGUAGAGAUGUGGAGGAAUACCGAUGGCGAAGGCAGCCCCUGGGCCAAUACUGACGCUCAUGCACGAAAGCGUGGGG
Molecule: ribosomal RNA, 422 nt
Filed under: uncultured bacterium
Lineage: Bacteria
Description: partial 16S ribosomal RNA
Rfam family: Bacterial small subunit ribosomal RNA
Source: RNAcentral